AAUGAAUAUAGCAAUAAAAUAAUGAGGGCAUAAUAAAAUAAUAAAUAGGAUAGGUCAGAAUUAACCUCUUCACACAUAUCACUUGAUACGGAAGUUAAAACGCUAACAAAGGUGAUGCAGAUAAAACCACAAAAAUUCGUAAUUAAUGAGCGAGUGUACGUCAAUCAAAUUUAUACACCACCAGGGAUAAAACACAACAUACAAACAAAAUAUAUAGGCCUUUAUCGUAUCGUCAAACAAAUAAGCCCUAAACUUUACAUUGUUGACAAAUGCAUUCUGGUACACAUGAAUCGCUUAAAACCAGUCAUGGAUAGGUUACAGUUCGAUUCAUCCAUAGGGAAGAUUGAUUCUAAUGAUGAACAAUCUUUUUCCACCCCUACGGUAACUCCAGAAGCUAGACCUUCCCAG
RNAcentral lists this long non-coding RNA (408 nucleotides) under Androctonus crassicauda. Lineage: Eukaryota; Metazoa; Arthropoda; Arachnida; Scorpiones; Buthidae. The record is from RNAcentral.